AGGAAAUGGAGAAUCUCUGAGCCUGAGUGUGGCUGACCAUCAUGACUUGACUUUAGAGAAAGCAAGUCUGCAACAAUAAAGUAGACAGGGAAAGAAGGCCCAGUUAUUCACACUCACCCCAUAUUUGGUGAGAGAAGCAGAGGCCCAAAGGAAUAUUGCAAAUACCCAAGGUCACCCUGUCAGGAGUGGCAGAAUAGGGCUGGAACAAGGACUCUUUUCUCUGGACAGCUUGCACCUACAAUCCUUUCCAUCUUGCACCUACAAUCCACUCGAACACUGCAGCAUGGAGGCAGACUCCUUGCCAACGGGUAUUGUCGAGAGCUUCUUCCUACCAUCAUUUGUGAGUUUCAUCAGCUCCCAACCCUUUGUGUCUCAGCUUCUAAACUUUCUUUCUUUGACCAGAACUCAGCCAUAGUAGAACUGGAUUUAUGGAUGGAAUUAGAGAUAUGUCUUAUCUGAUGUGACAACUCCAAAGAAUCGGUAGUGCUUUAGAGACAUCAGAAGGCUCUACAGAACUCAACAAGAGUACCAUGUAAAAUUCAUGAUGUCUGGAUGUGUGAGGGAUAGGGAGGCAUUGCUAUUUUUGACUUUGAUCUAUCCUUUAGGCCCAGAAAAUCUUAUAUUUGUAGACAGAGGGGAUCCAGGCACUGGAGAGUUG
RNAcentral lists this long non-coding RNA (658 nucleotides) under Homo sapiens (human). Its description in RNAcentral is "HSALNT0062628". Lineage: Eukaryota; Metazoa; Chordata; Mammalia; Primates; Hominidae. The record is from RNAcentral.